This 346-nucleotide unclassified non-coding RNA is filed under the name Hevea brasiliensis (rubber tree). The record is from RNAcentral. Lineage: Eukaryota; Viridiplantae; Streptophyta; Magnoliopsida; Malpighiales; Euphorbiaceae.
GCCUAUUUUGUGAAUGAAAUUCUGCAUUUUAUUUUCUUCUAUGUGAUGAUGCAUUGUUUAGCCAUACAGUUAUGAUUUCUGAAUGUAUCUACAUUUAGACUUUAGCUAAUGGUUUAGGUACUAAAGAAAAAUGUGUUUGCCUCUUGUUUAGGUGCUUGAUGCCUUAUUUAAGGAGUGUCAACGCCAUGGGGAGCAUUUUCUUUAUGAAGGAUUAAUAACACCAAAAGACAUUGAAGAUGCCAAGGCUAACAAGGGUGGCACUGUGGUUAGCAUUGGCUUGCCAGCUUAUUGCCUUCUUCAGGCGCUCCUGCGCUCUGUGAAAGCCAAUUCUGAGGGUAUUUUGUUG